Molecule: ribosomal RNA, 275 nt
Filed under: uncultured bacterium
Lineage: Bacteria
Description: partial 16S ribosomal RNA
Rfam family: Bacterial small subunit ribosomal RNA
Source: RNAcentral
GCGUGGGUGAAGAAGGUCUUCGGAUUGUAAAGCCCUUUCGACGGGGACGAUGAUGACGGUACCCGUAGAAGAAGCCCCGGCUAACUUCGUGCCAGCAGCCGCGGUAAUACGAAGGGGGCUAGCGUUGCUCGGAAUGACUGGGCGUAAAGGGCGCGUAGGCGGUUCACGCAGUCAGAUGUGAAAUUCCUGGGCUCAACCUGGGGGCUGCAUUUGAUACGCGUGGACUGGAGUGGGGAAGAGGGUCGUGGAAUUCCCAGUGUAGAGGUGAAAUUCGU